UCCCUACGGGGUGCAGCAGGCGCGCAAACUUUACAAUGCGAGCAAUCGUGAUAAGGAAACCCUGAGUGCCUGUCGAUGCAGGCUGUUCAUAUAUCUAAAUCAUAUGUGAAGAAAGGGCAGGGCAAGACCGGUGCCAGCCGCCGCGGUAAUACCGGCUGCUCGAGUGAUGGCCACUAUUACUGGGUUUAAAGCGUCCGUAGCUUGACUGUUAGGUCUCUUGGGAAAUCUUCACGCUCAACGUGAAGGCGUCUAAGAGAUACCGGCAGUCUUGGAACUGGGAGAGGUAAACCGUACUUCGGGGGUAGGAGUGAAAUCUUGUAAUCCUCGAGGGACGACCUAUGGCGAAGGCAGUUUACCAGAACAGCUUCGACAGUGAGGGACGAAAGCUGGGGGAGCAAACGGGAUUAGAUACCCCGGUAGUCCCAGCCGUAAACAAUGUGCGUUAGGUGUGUCGGUAACCACGUGUUACUGAUGCGCCGAAGAGAAAUCGUGAAACGCACCACCUGGGAAGUAUGGUCGCAAGGCUGAAACUUAAAGGAAUUGGCGGGGGAGCACCACAACAGGUGGAGCCUGCGGUUUAAUUGGAUUCAACGCCGGACAUCUCACCGGAUAAGACAGCUGAAUGAUUGUCAAUCUGAAGGUUUUACAUGACUAGCUGAGAGGAGGUGC
This 669-nucleotide ribosomal RNA is filed under the name uncultured archaeon. RNAcentral's name for it is "bacterial SSU rRNA". It matches the Rfam family "Archaeal small subunit ribosomal RNA", at positions 319 to 993 of the family's 1478-position model. The record is from RNAcentral.